Protopterus annectens (West African lungfish) is the source of this 927-nucleotide long non-coding RNA. RefSeq lists it as uncharacterized. Lineage: Eukaryota; Metazoa; Chordata; Ceratodontiformes; Protopteridae. The transcript has 3 exons. The record is from RefSeq and is a predicted model, not a curated record.
GAUCUGUCUGUGUGAAAAUGGCAUUAUCAGCAAAUUUUCCAUACAUGAAAACUGGACAGCUAAAUCUUGUUGCAGCAUCAUCCACCUUCAUCUUAAGAUCUUCUGCAUGAGGUCAUCAGAUGUUGAAGCACUCUUAAGAUCAUUAUGAGAUUUUAUUUGAAAUUAAUCAUAUAUGAGCAAUAUUUUGCACCUAAAGACCAUCAGAGGAUAGAAGACCGAAAAGAGAGUAAUUAGCCAAAAUAUAGUCAGCAGCAAAGAGAAGUAAAACUGCAGACUAGAAUUCCCAGACACAUCUUGUAAGCUCUGAAACCUCACCUGGAAAGACAUCAGCAUUACUAUGAGAUGAAAAGCAUCAGGAAUGAAUGAAAUGUUAUGAAGACUCAAAACUGCCAUGAGAAAACCAACGCAUCAUUGCAUAAAGCAAAUUGUGAAAGCAAACAUAAAGAGGAAAUACACUGUUUCUCAGUGGAAGUUACAGAUAAAGUGAAGCAUUAAAAGGUAACUAUAAGAGAAUAUAAUUAAAUCCAAAAAUGAAGAGAAAAGCAUUGUAUCAUCUAUGUUAGUAAGAUAGAAAAAAUAAUAUCGAAAACUUGGCAUGAGGAAAACUGCUAAAACAACAAUGAAACAUUUUAAUACAGAAAAAUAAUAUAUAAAACUUGGACUAAGGAAAUAAACAUCAAGUUCUGCAAAAAAGAGCAAUGAAACAUUUUAAAACAGAUGAGAAGGAUAUUCAGGCUUGACAAGAAGGGUAGAAAGUUAAGUGGGGUGACAGACGAAAAAACAGAAACAUUGCAUAAAUAUAUAUGUUUGCUUUCUGCAGAAAGAAAGAUGCCUAAACCAGACAGUAGAAAUGUUAUAGAUGUUUAGUUAGGUAUUGGGAUAGUGUUACUAGAAGCCCACCCAAUAAAUAAAGGAUUGUGAAAAAUU